CUGACCAGAAACUGCUGCUGGAACAGACUCUUCAACUAACCAUCAGAACAAGAUGGCUGCCGGUCUUCUCUUCUCUCUGCUUCUUGGUCUGAGCUUUGGACUCUGGGAUGGAGCUGAUGCAUGUCAACUGAAAGUUGCCGACUGCGAUAAGUGCACCCAGGUUGGAGUUGGCUUGAGGGUCGGUGUUUCCUGCAUGUGAACAUUGAAAUGACCUGGGGUG
Poeciliopsis prolifica (blackstripe livebearer) is the source of this 220-nucleotide long non-coding RNA. RefSeq lists it as uncharacterized. NCBI's taxonomy places the organism in Eukaryota, Metazoa, Chordata, Actinopteri, Cyprinodontiformes, Poeciliidae. The record is from RefSeq and is a predicted model, not a curated record. The transcript is spliced from 4 exons.